This 407-nucleotide ribosomal RNA is filed under the name uncultured beta proteobacterium. RNAcentral describes it as "bacterial SSU rRNA". It matches the Rfam family "Bacterial small subunit ribosomal RNA", at positions 9 to 416 of the family's 1533-position model. Lineage: Bacteria; Pseudomonadati; Pseudomonadota; Betaproteobacteria. The record is from RNAcentral.
GAGUUUGAUCGUGGCUCAGAUUGAACGCUGGCGGGAUGCCUUACACAUGCAAGUCGAACGGCAGCGCGGACUUCGGUCUGGCGGCGAGUGGCGAACGGGUGAGUAAUGUAUCGGAACGUGCCCAGUAGCGGGGGAUAACUACGCGAAAGGCGUAGCUAAUACCGCAUACGCCCUGAGGGGGAAAGCGGGGGAUCUUCGGACCUCGCACUAUUGGAGCGGCCGAUAUCGGAUUAGCUAGUUGGUGGGGUAACGGCUCACCAAGGCGACGAUCCGUAGCUGGUUUGAGAGGACGACCAGCCACACUGGGACUGAGACACGGCCCACGACUCCUACGGGAGGCAGCAGUGGGGAAUUUUGGACAAUGGGGGCAACCCUGAUCCAGCCAUCCCGCGUGUGCGAUGAAGGCC